Molecule: unclassified non-coding RNA, 305 nt
Filed under: plant metagenome
Description: partial contains 5.8S ribosomal RNA, internal transcribed spacer 2, and large subunit ribosomal RNA
Rfam family: 5.8S ribosomal RNA (bases 1-105)
Source: RNAcentral
GAAAUGCGAUAAGUAAUGUGAAUUGCAGAAUUCAGUGAAUCAUCGAAUCUUUGAACGCACAUUGCGCCCGCCAGUAUUCUGGCGGGCAUGCCUGUUCGAGCGUCAUUUCAACCAUCAAGCCCCCGGCUUGUGUUGGGGACCUGCGGCUGCCCGCAGGCCCUGAAAAACAGUGUCGGGCUCGCUGUCACACCGAGCGUAGUAGCAUACAUUCUCGCUCAGGGCGUGCUGCGGGUUCCGGCCGUUAAACGACCUUCAUAACCCAAGGUUGACCUCGGAUCAGGUAGGAAGACCCGCUGAACUUAAGC